AAUGUAGUGGCCAAGCAUAGGGGCCUUUGGAGCCCUUGACCCCAGUUCGAAUCUGGG
Molecule: transfer RNA, 57 nt
Organism: Nitrososphaera viennensis EN76
Lineage: Archaea; Thermoproteati; Nitrososphaerota; Nitrososphaeria; Nitrososphaerales; Nitrososphaeraceae
Rfam family: tRNA
About the family: Transfer RNA (tRNA) molecules are approximately 80 nucleotides in length. Their secondary structure includes four short double-helical elements and three loops (D, anti-codon, and T loops). Further hydrogen bonds mediate the characteristic L-shaped molecular structure. tRNAs have two regions of fundamental functional importance: the anti-codon, which is responsible for specific mRNA codon recognition, and the 3' end, to which the tRNAs corresponding amino acid is attached (by aminoacyl-tRNA synthetases). tRNAs cope with the degeneracy of the genetic code in two manners: having more than one tRNA (with a specific anti-codon) for a particular amino acid; and 'wobble' base-pairing, i.e. permitting non-standard base-pairing at the 3rd anti-codon position.
Source: Rfam